Molecule: ribosomal RNA, 516 nt
Filed under: uncultured bacterium
Lineage: Bacteria
Description: partial 16S ribosomal RNA
Rfam family: Bacterial small subunit ribosomal RNA
Source: RNAcentral
GAUGAACGCUGGCGGCGUGCCUAAUACAUGCAAGUCGAACGCAUUGAGAAAAGUGCUUGCACUUUUCAAUUUGAGUGGCGAACGGGUGAGUAACACGUGGGCAACCUACCUGAUAGCGGGGGAUAACGAGUGGAAACAUUCGCUAAUACCGCAUAACAAUAGAGAAGGCAUCUUCUUUAUUUAAAAGGCGCUUUCAAGCGUCACUAUCAGAUGGGCCCGCGGUGCAUUAGUUAGUUGGUGGGGUGAAGGCUUACCAAGACGAUGAUGCAUAGGCGAGUUGUGGAACGGAUCGGACACAUUGGGACUGAGACACGGCCCAAAGUCCUACGGGAGGCUGCAGUAGGGAAUCUUCCACAAUGGACGAAAGUCUGAUGGAGCAACGCCGCGUGUGUGAUGAAGGCUUUCGGGUCGUAAAGCACUGUUGUAUGGGAAGAAAUGCUAGGCUAGGAAAUGAGCUUAGUUUGACGGUACCAUACCAGAAAGGGACGGCUAAAUACGUGCCAGCCGCCGCCGUAA